This 480-nucleotide ribosomal RNA is filed under the name uncultured bacterium. Its description in RNAcentral is "partial 16S ribosomal RNA". It matches the Rfam family "Bacterial small subunit ribosomal RNA", at positions 28 to 507 of the family's 1533-position model. The record is from RNAcentral.
GACGAACGCUGGCGGCGCGCUUAACACAUGCAAGUCGAGCGAUGAAACUUAAACAGUACGCUUUGGGCGGAAGAUAAAGUGGAUCAGCGGCGGAAGGGUGAAUAACACGUCAGUAACCUGCCUUAGACAUUGGGAUAACCACUGCAAAUCGUGAGUAAUACCAAAUAAAAUCAUAAUGACACAUGUCAUAACGAUCAAAACUCCGGUGGUCUGAGAUGGACUUUCGUCCUACUAGCUAGUUGGUAGAGUAAAAGCCUACCAAGGAGACGAAGAGUAGCCGGCCAGGAGAGAUGAACGCGCACAUUAGAGGUGAGAAACGGUCGGAACCUUUACGGAAGGCAGCAAUGGUGAAUAUUGCACAAUGCAAGAAAGCUGGAUGCAGCCGCGCUGCGUGAACGAAGAAGGCGUUCGGGACGGAAAGUGUUCUUAGAUGGGACGAUAAUGACGGUACCAUAAAAAAAAGCCACGGCUAACUACGUG